This 76-nucleotide small nucleolar RNA is filed under the name Aplysia californica (California sea hare). The record is from RNAcentral. Lineage: Eukaryota; Metazoa; Mollusca; Gastropoda; Aplysiida; Aplysiidae.
AUUGCAAUGAUGAAUUGAUGAAUACCGCCCCAGUCUGAUUAAUUACAUGACUGAAUGGUAAUGAUUCUGAUGCAAA